RNAcentral lists this ribosomal RNA (440 nucleotides) under uncultured bacterium. RNAcentral describes it as "partial 16S ribosomal RNA". It matches the Rfam family "Bacterial small subunit ribosomal RNA", at positions 338 to 795 of the family's 1533-position model. The record is from RNAcentral.
CCUACGGGAGGCAGCAGUGGGGAAUAUUGCACAAUGGGCGAAACCCUGAUGCAGCGACGCUGCGUGAGUGAAGAAGUAUUUCGGUGUGUAAAGCUCUAUCAACAGGGAAGAAAAUGACGGUACGUGAUUAAGAAGCCCCGGCUAACUACGUGCCAGCAGCCGCGGUAAUACGUAGGGUGCAGGCGUUAUCCGGAUUUACUGGGUGUAAAGGGAGCGUAGACGGCAGCACAAGACUGGAGUGAAAUGCCGGGGCUGAACCCCGGAACUGCUUGGGAAACUGUGCAGCUAGAGUGCAGGAGAGGCAAGUGGAAUUCCUAGGGUAGCGGUGAAAUGCGUAGAUAUUAGGAGGAACACCAGUGGCGAAGGCGGCUUACUGGACUGUAACUGACGUUGAGGCUCGAAAGCGUGGGGAGCAAACAGGAUUAGAUACCCGUGUAGUC